CCUACGGGAGGCAGCAGUGAGGAAUAUUGGUCAAUGGGCGCGAGCCUGAACCAGCCAAGUAGCGUGAAGGAUGACUGCCCUACGGGUUGUAAACUUCUUUUAUAAAGGAAUAAAGUGAGGCACGUGUGCCUUUUUGUAUGUACUUUAUCAAUAAGGAUCGGCUAACUCCGUGCCAUCAGCCGCGGUAAUACGGAGGAUCCGAGCGUUAUCCGGAUUUAUUGGGUUUAAAGGGAGCGUAGAUGGGUUGUUAAGUCAGUUGUGAAAGUUUGCGGCUCAACCGUAAAAGUGCAAUUGAUACUGGCAGUCUUGAGUACAGUUGAGGUAGGCGGAAUUCGUGGUGUAGCGGUGAAAUGCUUAGAUAUCACGAAGAACUCCGAUUGCGAAGGCAGCUUACUAAACUGCCACUGACAUUGAUGCUCGAAAGUGUGGGUAUCAAACAGGAUUAGAUACCCGAGUAGUC
This 460-nucleotide ribosomal RNA is filed under the name uncultured bacterium. RNAcentral describes it as "partial 16S ribosomal RNA". It matches the Rfam family "Bacterial small subunit ribosomal RNA", at positions 338 to 795 of the family's 1533-position model. The record is from RNAcentral.